This 720-nucleotide ribosomal RNA is filed under the name uncultured bacterium. RNAcentral's name for it is "bacterial SSU rRNA". It matches the Rfam family "Bacterial small subunit ribosomal RNA", at positions 624 to 1356 of the family's 1533-position model. The record is from RNAcentral.
GUCUGANAACUGGAUUACUAGAGACUUGUAGAGGCUCGUGGAAUUCGUGAUGUAGGGGUAAAAUCCGUUGAUAUCACGAGGAACACCAAAAGCGAAGGCAGCGAGCUGGGCUAGUUCUGACGCUGAGGGACGAAAGCGUAGGUAGCGAACGGAAUUAGAUACCCCGGUAGUCUACGCCGUAAACGAUGGAUACUAGGUGUUGGCACAUCGACCGUGUCAGUGCCAAAGCUAACGCAUUAAGUAUCCCGCCUGGGGAGUAUGGUCGCAAGAUUAAAACUCAAAGGAAUAGACGGGGACCCACACAAGCGGUGGAGCAUGUGGUUUAAUUCGAUAAUAAGCGAGGAACCUUACCAAGACUUGACAUCUCGGGAAUUCUGAAGAAAUUCGGAAGUGCCGUAAGGAACCCGAUGACAGGUGCUGCAUGGUUGUCGUCAGCUCGUGCCUUGAGGUGUUCGGUUAAGUCCGUAAACGAGCGCAACCCUUGUCCUUAGUUGCAUUUUUCUAAGGAGACUGCCCUGACUUAGUUAGGGAGGAAGGUAAGGAUGACGUCAAAUCAGCAUGGCCCUUAUGUCUUGGGCGACACACGUGCUACAAUGGCCGGUACAAUGGGUAGCCAAGCGGUAACGCGGAGCCAAUCCCACAAAACCGGUCUCAGUUCGGAUAGAGGGCUGAAACUCGCCCUCUUGAAGUUGGAAUCGCUAGUAACGCAUAUCAGCCACG